AGCGAACGCUGGCGGCAGGCUUAACACAUGCAAGUCGAGCGGGCAUAGCAAUAUGUCAGCGGCAGACGGGUGAGUAACGCGUGGGAACGUACCUUUUGGUUCGGAACAACACAGGGAAACUUGUGCUAAUACCGGAUAAGCCCUUACGGGGAAAGAUUUAUCGCCGAAAGAUCGGCCCGCGUCUGAUUAGCUAGUUGGUGAGGUAAUGGCUCACCAAGGCGACGAUCAGUAGCUGGUCUGAGAGGAUGAUCAGCCACAUUGGGACUGAGACACGGCCCAAACUCCUACGGGAGGCAGCAGUGGGGAAUAUUGGACAAUGGGCGCAAGCCUGAUCCAGCCAUGCCGCGUGAGUGAUGAAGGCCCUAGGGUUGUAAAGCUCUUUUGUGCGGGAAGAUAAUGACGGUACCGCAAGAAUAAGCCCCGGCUAACUUCGUGCCAGCAGCCGCGGUAAUACGAAGGGGGCUAGCGUUGCUCGGAAUCACUGGGCGUAAAGGGUGCGUAGGCGGGUCUUUAAGUCAGGGGGUGAAAUCCUGGAGCUCAACUCCAGAACUGCCUUUGAUACUGAAGAUCUUGAGUUCGGGAGAGGUGAGUGGAACUGCGAGUGUAGAGGUGAAAUUCGUAGAUAUUCGCAAGAACACCAGUGGCGAAGUGGCUCACUGGCCCGAUACUGACGCUGAGGCACGAAAGCGUGGGGAGCAAACAGG
RNAcentral lists this ribosomal RNA (704 nucleotides) under uncultured Bradyrhizobiaceae bacterium. RNAcentral describes it as "bacterial SSU rRNA". It matches the Rfam family "Bacterial small subunit ribosomal RNA", at positions 28 to 776 of the family's 1533-position model. The record is from RNAcentral. Lineage: Bacteria; Pseudomonadati; Pseudomonadota; Alphaproteobacteria; Hyphomicrobiales; Nitrobacteraceae.